ACAAGCGGUGGAGUACGUGGUUUAAUUCGAUGCAACGCGAAGAACCUUACCUGGUCUUGACAUCCCGGAGACCCUUAGGAAACUAGGGGGUGGCUUCCAUCUGGAAGAAUCUGGAGACAGGUGCUGCAUGGCUGUCGUCAGCUCGUGUCGUGAGAUGUUGGGUUAAGUCCCGCAACGAGCGCAACCCUUGCCUUUAGUUGCCAGCAGUUCGGCUGGGCACUCUAAAGGGACUGCCGGUGUUAAACCGGAGGAAGGUGGGGAUGACGUCAAGUCCUCAUGGCCUUUAUGACCAGGGCUACACACGUACUACAAUGGCCGAUACAAAGGGCAGCGACACUGCGAGGUGAAGCCAAUCCCGUAAAAUCGGUCUCAGUCCGGAUUGGAGUCUGCAACUCGACUCCAUGAAGUUGGAAUCGCUAGUAAUCGUGGAUCAGCAUGCCACGGUGAAUACGUUCCCGGGCCUU
RNAcentral lists this ribosomal RNA (464 nucleotides) under uncultured Desulfobulbus sp. RNAcentral's name for it is "bacterial SSU rRNA". It matches the Rfam family "Bacterial small subunit ribosomal RNA", at positions 925 to 1382 of the family's 1533-position model. The record is from RNAcentral. Lineage: Bacteria; Pseudomonadati; Thermodesulfobacteriota; Desulfobulbia; Desulfobulbales; Desulfobulbaceae.